GCCACUCCUAAUACGGUGGGUAGACGUUACCAAGAGAAAAGCCCUGCUAACUUCGUGUUAGCGCCGGGUAAUACGAAGGGUGCAAGCGUUAAUCGGAAUUACUGGCGUAAAGCGAGGGAAGGGGGUUCAGCAAGUUGGAUGUGAAAUCCCCGGGCUCAACCUGGGAACUGCAUCCAAAACUACUGAGCUAGAGUACGGUAGAGGGUGGUGGAAUUUCCUGUGUAGCGGUGAAAUGCGUAGAUAUAGGAAGGAACACCAGUGGCGAAGCGACCACCUGGACUGAUACUGACACUGAGGUGCGAAAGCGUGGGGAGCAAACAGGAUUA
RNAcentral lists this ribosomal RNA (326 nucleotides) under uncultured Pseudomonas sp. RNAcentral's name for it is "bacterial SSU rRNA". It matches the Rfam family "Bacterial small subunit ribosomal RNA", at positions 452 to 780 of the family's 1533-position model. Lineage: Bacteria; Pseudomonadati; Pseudomonadota; Gammaproteobacteria; Pseudomonadales; Pseudomonadaceae. The record is from RNAcentral.